Molecule: non-coding RNA, 4191 nt
Organism: Chlorocebus sabaeus (green monkey)
Lineage: Eukaryota; Metazoa; Chordata; Mammalia; Primates; Cercopithecidae
Source: RefSeq, a predicted model, not a curated record
UCGUGAUCUUCCCGUGUCAGCCUCCCAAAGUACCGGGAUUACAGGCGUGAGCCACUGCCCCCAGCUGUGUAUUUUUUAAUAGUACUUUUCACUGUAGUUAUUGAUGAAUACGUCUUAUUUCCCCUCCUGGUAAGUUCUGUGGGUCCAGGCUUUGUGUUAGUCAUCAUUUUCUGUUUUCUUCUCAUCCGAUCCUCCACCCAGGCUUAGCACAGGGUCUUAUGCAUCAUGGAUAUUUAAUAAAUACCCAUCGAACCUCAUUAUGGCUUUACACAGUUGUGUAUUAUGGCUUCUUGCUGAACACAUUGUGUUCAGUCGUGCAGUCAAGACAACAUAAUUGGACCCCACAUCCAGCCUGAUUUCCCACGACUUUACUUUGAGAACCUGCCCGAGUUAGCUGGAUCUUCAGCAAGUCAUAUAGAUACCAUCUCUGUCUCUUUGCUCAUCCCACUCUCUGGAUCUGAAAUGCCCCCUCACUCAUCCUGCCCACUUGAUUGGCUUGAUUUGGAUUCUCCCUUGUCUGUGAAGGGUGCCCUGACAGCUCCUGCCCACACUGAUGUGUUUCCUCCUUUGAAUUCCUGUAGCAUUUACAGUCUGAGCUAUAUACCUAAGCAGUGAAUCAUAUCAGAUCUUGGCCGUAGGUGAAUUUCCCCAUCUAAAAAGUAGGAAUGAUGCCACCUGUUUCGCCAAAUUAUUGUGGAGGUGGUGACAUGAAACAAGUGGGAGAAAGCACUUUGUAAACUAUUAAGUGCUGUGCACAUCUUUUUUAUUGUUUAUAAAUAUGUAUCCUUUGAACGUUGCAAUCUCCUUGAGCUCAGAGAUUAUAUCUAAUAGCUCUUGCGGUUCUUCUAAAGCCCCUGAGCAGUGCUGGAUACACAGGAAAUGUUCAUCAAAUAUUUGUUGACUGGAUCAUCAUAUUUUAAAUGUAUGUGUGUGUGUUUUUUUUUUUUUUUCCUUCUAGGAGCUAUUCAUCACUAAUGAAAGUUGAAAAUAUGUCUUCAAAUCAGGAUGGCAAUGAUUCAGAUGAAUUCAUGUAAAAGGAGAAAAGGACCUUUGAAAGAUGUGAAUGUAGAGACAAUUGCAGACCUUUUGGUUUCAUCUGUGUUCUGAAGUAUAAAAUACAACCAAAAUUCUACCUUCAUCCUACCCAGAAAUUAUUGAUUUUUGAGUUUUAAAAAAAUUGUACCUUUUUUGCUGACAGAAAAGGAUCAGAUAUGUAUAAAAUAGUUGAACUUGACAGCAUAUAACCUAACGUGAAAAUGUUUUUGCCAGAACAUGUCUUGGUACCUUGUGAAAGCAGGCUGCCCUUGUUCUUGAGAUAGACUUUAAAAUGAACCAACUCUGAAAAGUACUUCUGUUGCUCUGGUCUAUCCCUGAAAACAGAUGUCUUGAAACACUUUUCAUAGUCUUAAAAUAAUCUUCACUUCUGUUAAGAAGAACAUGUUGCUGGGUAAUUAUGCGAAUGUUUCCCUGUCCCUGAUUUCCCGAUUAGAAAAAAGGGCAUAUGGGUUUUGAAAAAGAGAUUUUUCAGAAGAUUGUAAGCUUCAGUAUUCACGUUCCAUCGUGUCAUCUGGGUCUGUAGUGUAGUGACCCUCAACAGUCUGUCCCAGCUUUUAUAUCCUUGCUUCCUCUGAGCAGGGGCCGCCAUCUUAGUAUCAUCAUAUUUAAAGAAAUUGAUGGUGUUCAUCAAGGUAGGGCCUGUGGCAGUUGUUGCCUGAGCACCAAGUAACCCAAGCCACCUAUGCGACAACUUCUGGGCCCAGGAGUAAUUUCUCAGCAUUGAGGGUAAAAUAGGAUGGAGUGCUCUGUUGAUCAUUUGGGAGAUUACCUGAUUUGUGCCUUGGGAUGCAGCGUGAAGCAGAAGUCCAUAUUGCAAUUAUGAUUUUAGAAGGAACUAAGUGUUUCACUAGCCAGCCGAGCAACUAUUUUCUUUACCUUGAAGUCAUAUUUGAGUUGUAACCCCAGAGUUAAUUUCUCAUUGUAGAUUCAGUAACUUAGUAUGUAACAUUACUUCUCACGUGAACCACUCGCUAUCUGUUGUGAUUCUGAGCAGAAGAUGUCUUUUGAUUGCAGUAUGUAAGGCAACCCCUGUAGAAGGAGACAAAACAAGGAGAAAGAGAACAAAGCCUGCCAGACCAGAGGCGAAGAGAUGGAUAUUUUACUCACACCCACAGCAGCAAGAAUGACCUUCUGCAGCAGAUAUUCCACCUGUAAUAGCACUUUGGAACUGUGGGCAAAACCAAAAGGCUAGUGUUUCCAUUUAUUUCACGUUGGUGAAUGGGGUUGAACUGGAAAAUUCACUGAGGCAUAACUCACUGGCCAAAUUUUGAGAGGGGAUAGAAGAUGACUUUAGAGAUGAGUGGUUUUGUUUAUGUGUCUAAUGAUAUUCAGUCUGACGUUCUGCAAUUUUAAAAGUUAUAAUAAAGUAUCAUUUUUUUUUAUCUGGAAGGACAUUGAUAUAUGUAUUCUUAGAAUUUGCUAUAAAAAGGGUAGCCCCCAUUCCACAAGCUGAUUUUGAGGGUGAUCUUACUGUAAAAAACCUCAUUCAUCAUAGGCUUAGUCUGACAGAUUCUGUAGGGGGCUAUCAUCUUUCUCCUCCUCUGCUAAAUGCCUCUUUCUUCCAGCUGCUCACUGGGUCAAAGGGAUGUCCUUUCUCAGAUACACUCUUGAUUGACUGUGAAUUCAUAGCUGUGCUCCUUCCAUACUUCCAAGGAGUCCGGCUUCUCCAGAAUUCCUCUGUACCUCACACUGCAACACGUGUAGAUAGCGCCUUUGAAGAAUACCUAUAUUUUUACUAUAGUAUGAGAAGUCCUGGGGCUCAAAUUUUAAACAUUUCCUAACUCUCAGCUUACACUGGUUUAAAAUGUCCAGGUCUCUCUGCUGAAUUCUCUUGUUGAAUUCGUAACUGUCCAACCUCAUCUGUGUUGAUUCCUACGCCCCCACUCCCCAGCCUCUGUGUUUUAUUUUUUUCCCCAUCUCUGUUGGUCCCAGGGAAAGCGAGGACGUUUUCUUUUGAGGACUUAUAGGUUGAUCGCCCACAGGUCAAACUGUUGGCAUUCAACCGCUCUCAUUUCUUGCUAUUGGAUUGUUUCCUAAACGUUGGAUAGGGGAAAUAGAAAUUGUUGCUAUUUUUAUGAGCUGUGCCCUUGAUCAAAUCUGUGCUGUGGGUCUGAGUCACUUUGCCAACACUGUCUUCAGUUUCACCACUCUGAUCAGCAUGCAGGCGAGGGGCAUGUUUAGUUUACUUCCCUAACUGCUAUCUUCUAUAGCUUUGGACUUCAUAUUUCUUAUCCACUUUUGUCUAGGCUUUAUGGGCAGGGGAACUUUGUCACCGUGGUUGGGCUAGAACAAAUCUUAAGAAGUUUACCAACACAGAUGUUGAGAAGUUUAUCGAAAAGCACUGACAUUAGCAGAAUAGGUGAUGGACAUUAGUUGAAUCUCUUCAGUGUCUGUGUGUUUUGUUGUAUUGUCUUUAACUUGUUCUUGAAGCAUAGAUUGCAGCGAGCCUUUCAGCUGUUCAGUGCCAGCGGUUUUCCCCACUCAGAAAAGAUGGUGUGAGCCAUGCACACAGCCGGCAGGAUUAGACGGGGAGAGUUUCAGCUGCAGCUUCUAGUUUAAGACCAAAGCCCUUCCUCCCACUAUUGCAUCUGUCUGAGAGGGGGAAGUUCUUGUUUUCCAAGCUGGAACUGUUUAUGAGGAAAACGGAGCAGGGUGGCAAAAUGGAAAAGGAACAAUUUUCUAAUUUUUCCUGACACGUGAUACUGAGGCCUGCUUUUUCUUUGAUUUGAGGUACAGCAUGUGAAUAACAAAUUUCCAUAUUCAAAAUGAUCAUAUUAGAGUGACUGGAUGACCUUUUGAUUUUAAAGCAGACUAAAACCUAAUCAGACUACAACGAAAAGUAUACAAUUAGAAACUUAAAUUCCAAGCUAAAUUUCAGCUUUGACCCACCUAACUCCAGUGAAUAGGUGGCAGCUCAGAAACAAGGACGGCACCGCUGCUGCCUGGGGAAGCUCACAUCCAGCUGGCACUUCGUGAGAGCUCCUUCCUGCCAGGCACGUGUGAGUUCAGCGUGGGCAAGAGACUUUUAUGCACAUUCUGUCAUUCAAAAGGGAGACGAUACCAACCCCAGAUGCAGCAUGUCCUGAAUGAAUGAUCUGUAAAAUACAAUAAUAAAAGCUUAUAGUUUGAGUAGAA